GGUGGAGCUUUUGAGCCCGCUUCAAGUCAGGAUGACUAAUCAACCAAUCUUGGGGUAAACGAUUUAUUAUGUUUAUGUUUAUUUACGUUUAACUCUUUAACUCUUAUACAUGGAAAAUGAGACUCAAUAUUUUUACUGCGAAUUUAUAUAUUCUAAAUUAUAUAAUAUAUAUAAGAUAAUAUAUAUAAGCUGUUUUCUUUCACUCAUAUAACUAUUUGAUUUAAUUCUUCAAUCCUAAUAAGG
Molecule: long non-coding RNA, 243 nt
Filed under: Fragaria vesca (wild strawberry)
Lineage: Eukaryota; Viridiplantae; Streptophyta; Magnoliopsida; Rosales; Rosaceae
Description: long non-coding RNA (FVES_LNC005318)
Source: RNAcentral